Manis javanica (Malayan pangolin) is the source of this 103-nucleotide small nuclear RNA. The record is from RefSeq and is a predicted model, not a curated record. NCBI's taxonomy places the organism in Eukaryota, Metazoa, Chordata, Mammalia, Pholidota, Manidae.
GUUUACUGCAGCUGCACAUACACUGACGUGGAUGAGGCAGAGAAGAUUAGCACGGCUCCUGUACAAGGAUGGCAUGCAAACUCAUGGAGUACUCUAUAUUUUU